RNAcentral lists this ribosomal RNA (487 nucleotides) under uncultured bacterium. Its description in RNAcentral is "bacterial SSU rRNA". It matches the Rfam family "Bacterial small subunit ribosomal RNA", at positions 28 to 507 of the family's 1533-position model. The record is from RNAcentral.
GACGAACGCUGGCGGCGUGCUUAAUACAUGCAAGUCGAGCGGUGAACCUAGCCGAAAGCCUUCGGGCUUGAAGCUGGGGGAUCAGCGGCGGAUGGGUGAGUAACGCGUGGGUACCUGCCCUAAAGUUCGGGAUAACAGCCCGAAAGGGUUGCUAAUACCGGAUGUGACCGAAAGGUUAAAGGUAGCAAUAUCGCUUUAGGAUGGGCCCGCGUCCCAUUAGCUAGUUGGUGGGGUAAUGGCCUACCAAGGCUACGAUGGGUAGCCGGCCUGAGAGGGUGGACGGCCACACUGGGACUGAGACACGGCCCAGACUCCUACGGGAGGCAGCAGUAGGGAAUCUUCCGCAAUGGACGAAAGUCUGACGGAGCGACGCCGCGUGGGGGGAAGAAGGCCUUCGGGUUGUAAACCGUCUGUCCUCAGGGACGAAGAGGGUGUAGCGAUGCACCGAACGACGGUACCGUGAGGAGGAAGCCCGGCUAACUACGUG